RNAcentral lists this ribosomal RNA (253 nucleotides) under uncultured bacterium. RNAcentral's name for it is "partial 16S ribosomal RNA". It matches the Rfam family "Bacterial small subunit ribosomal RNA", at positions 524 to 776 of the family's 1533-position model. The record is from RNAcentral.
UACGUAGGGUGCGAGCGUUGUCCGGAAUUAUUGGGCGUAAAGGGCUCGUAGGCGGUUUGUCACGUCGGGAGUGAAAACUCGGGGCUUAACCCCGAGCCUGCUUCCGAUACGGGCUGACUAGAGGUAUGCAGGGGAGAACGGAAUUCCUGGUGUAGCGGUGAAAUGCGCAGAUAUCAGGAGGAACACCGGUGGCGAAGGCGUUUCUCUGGGCAUUACCUGACGCUGAGGAGCGAAAGUGUGGGGAGCGAACAGG